Microplitis mediator is the source of this 1500-nucleotide long non-coding RNA. RefSeq lists it as uncharacterized. Lineage: Eukaryota; Metazoa; Arthropoda; Insecta; Hymenoptera; Braconidae. The record is from RefSeq and is a predicted model, not a curated record. The transcript is spliced from 5 exons.
GUACGGUAUUUUUUUGUUUUGUAUUUUAAAAGUAUAAUCUUAUACUUUGUAUUUAAACUAAUAGAUAUAAAAGAUAAAAGUCCAAGGAACCAAUAAUUGAAAAAUGUCGAAAGUAAUAUUUGCAUUCAUUGCAUUACUCGUCAUGAUUGUCAUGAUAGAGACUGCAGAGGCUUGCACUGGAUUAAUGGGCUCAUGUAACAAUCAUGACGAAUGCUGUUCAAUGUGGUGUGCCCAUUCAGAUUUUCUCAGCCUUCGAUACUACAGUGUCAAGACAAAGUAAAAUAAUAACUCGAGUCAGAAUAUUGAGACUACACGAGCCUACAUGACGAUUUGUUAUUGUUUUUAUCGAUUAAUAAAUGAAAAUAAUAAAUUGAGCAUGCAUUUCGAUUCUUUGUUGUUUUACAAUAUAAAUAAUUUUCUCCGUACACGGAAAGAUUGGAACCCGACUGGUUAUUGUUCGGCACCCGACUCAGUACAAUGCUGGAAAAAAAUGCUCGAUUGUGGUGCAGCACCACACUGAUUACUGUGCGGGACCUGACUAAUAUGCGCACACGACUCAGUCAGGUCCUGCAUGGGAUUUUAGUGUCAUUAAUUCAUUAUUUUUUGAAGUAGACAACAUUUAAUUUUUUUUUUGUCAAAAACUUACUUUAGUGAAAUAAUAUUAUUUUUCCAGCUUAUCAUGUCACUAUCUUUCAUUGUUUUAUUGAUAAAUCAUCAUUAUCAUUCAUUAAUUAUUAUUCAUGAUCAAAUUAUAUGAAUAAAAAAAAAAUUUAAUGUGAGUGAAUAGUCAAAAAAUUUAGAGCGAUCAUAAAAGCACCCUCAGCGCUUUCGCUCUUGAGGUGUGCAAUAUAAUAAAUUAGUAGCUAUUGAGCUAUCAUCUUACAUUUUGCAAGACGUCUAAGUAUUUAAAUGCAUAUACUUUGUUUUUUAAAUAUAAGGAAAACUGUUAUGCGUAAUAAAUAUUAUAUAAUAAUCGCAAUCAUCAUCAAAUGAAUCCGUAUCAUUUGAACUUUGAGAUUUUAUAAGUCAAGUUCAGAAUUUAUUAUUGUGAUAUUUAUCUUCAUGACCAUGAAAAUUCAGUAUAAAUGCAGGAAUUCACCCGUUUCUGAAAGCAGUGAGUCAAAAAUCGUUGAACAUACACAACCAACAGUAGUACUGCAAUAUCCGAUACAAAAAUCCAAGGAACCCAUAAUUACAAAAUGUCGAAAGUAAUAUUCGCAUUCAUUGCAUUACUCGUAAUUAUUGUCAUGAUGGAGAAGACUGCCGAGGCUUGCGCCCCAAUAUUGGGCACGUGUGACAAUCAUGAGGAUUGUUGUUCAGAGUGGUGUGCACAUUCAGAUUUUUUCAGCGUUCAUUACUGCAGUUUCAAGACAAAGUAAAAUUUUGAUUCAAAUUAAAUGCCGGGAUUAAUUACACUAAUUUCAUUCAUUUAAUUAGUAAUUGUAUUAGAACAAAUUGUAUCCUUGUUAACUUGCAAUAAAUCAAUUACUAUAAAACUUA